This 471-nucleotide ribosomal RNA is filed under the name uncultured bacterium. RNAcentral describes it as "bacterial SSU rRNA". It matches the Rfam family "Bacterial small subunit ribosomal RNA", at positions 335 to 802 of the family's 1533-position model. The record is from RNAcentral.
ACUCCUACGGGAGGCAGCAGUGGGGAAUAUUGCACAAUGGGCGCAAGCCUGAUGCAGCCAUGCCGCGUGUGUGAAGAAGGCCUUCGGGUUGUAAAGCACUUUCAGUCGUGAGGAAGGUAGUAGUAGUUAAUAGCUGCAGUAUUUGACGUUAGCGACAGAAGAAGCACCGGCUAACUCCGUGCCAGCAGCCGCGGUAAUACGGAGGGUGCGAGCGUUAAUCGGAAUUACUGGGCGUAAAGCGCAUGCAGGUGGUUGUUAAGUCAGAUGUGAAAGCCCGGGGCUCAACCUCGGAAUAGCAUUUGAAACUGGCAGACUAGAGUACUGUAGAGGGGGUAGAAUUUCAGGUGUAGCGGUGAAAUGCGUAGAGAUCUGAAGGAAUACCGGUGGCGAAGGCGGCCCCUGGACAGAUACUGACACUCAGAUGCGAAAGCGUGGGAGCAAACAGGAUUAGAUACCCCUGGUAGACUGUCA